UUCCUACGGGGGGCAGCAGUGGGGAAUAUUGCACAAUGGGGGGAACCCUGAUGCAGCAAUGCCGCGUGGGUGAAGAAGCACUCCGGUGCGUAAAGCCCUGUCAGCAGGGAAGAAAAUGACAGUACCUGACCAAGAAGCCCCGGCUAACUACGUGCCAGCAGCCGCGGUAAUACGUAGGGGGCAAGCGUUAUCCGGAUUUACUGGGUGUAAAGGGUGCGUAGGCGGCCUGCUAAGUCUGGAGUGAAAGGUACCGGCUCAACCGGUACAGGCUCUGGAAACUGGCGGGCUAGAGAGCAGGAGAGGGG
RNAcentral lists this ribosomal RNA (305 nucleotides) under uncultured bacterium. RNAcentral describes it as "bacterial SSU rRNA". It matches the Rfam family "Bacterial small subunit ribosomal RNA", at positions 336 to 659 of the family's 1533-position model. The record is from RNAcentral.